GCCCCGGUGGCACAGCUGGAUAGCGCGGCCCCCUCCUAAGGGGGAGGUCCCAGGUUCGAAUCCUGGUCGGGGCGCCA
This 77-nucleotide transfer RNA is filed under the name Gammaproteobacteria bacterium. RNAcentral's name for it is "tRNA-Arg". It matches the Rfam family "tRNA". Rfam says of the family: Transfer RNA (tRNA) molecules are approximately 80 nucleotides in length. Their secondary structure includes four short double-helical elements and three loops (D, anti-codon, and T loops). Lineage: Bacteria; Pseudomonadati; Pseudomonadota; Gammaproteobacteria. The record is from RNAcentral.